UGCCAGCCGCCGCGGUAAUACGAAGGGGGUUAGCGUUGUUCGGAAUUACUGGGCGUAAAGCGCGCGUAGGCGGAUUGGAAAGUUGGGGGUGAAAUCCCGGGGCUCAACCUGGGAACUGCAUUUGAAACUGGUCAACUAGAGUAUGGUAGAGGAAAGUGGAAUUUCUGGUGUAGCGGUGAAAUGCGUAGAUAUCAGAAGGAACAUCAAUGGCGAAGGCAGCUUUCUGGACCAAUACUGACGCUGAGGUACGAAAGCGUGGGUAGCAAACAGGAUUAGAUA
RNAcentral lists this ribosomal RNA (279 nucleotides) under uncultured bacterium. RNAcentral's name for it is "partial 16S ribosomal RNA". It matches the Rfam family "Bacterial small subunit ribosomal RNA", at positions 506 to 784 of the family's 1533-position model. The record is from RNAcentral.